This 29-nucleotide non-coding RNA is filed under the name Mus musculus (house mouse). Lineage: Eukaryota; Metazoa; Chordata; Mammalia; Rodentia; Muridae. The record is from RNAcentral.
UCUAAGGUGAGGAUCUAAUGACUGCCAAU